GAGCGUAUUCAUAAAAUUACA
Molecule: microRNA, 21 nt
Filed under: Dasypus novemcinctus (nine-banded armadillo)
Lineage: Eukaryota; Metazoa; Chordata; Mammalia; Cingulata; Dasypodidae
Description: dno-miR-590-5p
Gene: dno-miR-590-5p
Source: miRBase by way of RNAcentral